AACAACGCGUUGAACAAGAGCGAUUAGUAGGAACUCGUCCAGAGAGAAGAAGGUUUGCUGCAACUUCUUCCGAGGCACUACUAAGCGGUAGCUUGUGAGCUGUCAUCUUGAAUCUUAGUAGGGAUGACCGGACAAACCGUCCGUUAACAAGUCAUGAGUUGGAGGCCUUAGUGUCUCAAUUUAGGUGGUACCGCGAAAAGCAUUCGUCCUAUUG
This 214-nucleotide non-coding RNA is filed under the name Latilactobacillus fuchuensis. Its description in RNAcentral is "Lactobacillus fuchuensis T-box sequence". It matches the Rfam family "T-box leader". Rfam says of the family: Uncharged tRNA acts as the effector for transcription antitermination of genes in the T-box leader family. T-boxes are found upstream of many aminoacyl-tRNA synthetase genes and some amino acid biosynthetic genes usually in Gram-positive bacteria. The record is from RNAcentral. Lineage: Bacteria; Bacillati; Bacillota; Bacilli; Lactobacillales; Lactobacillaceae.